This 272-nucleotide ribosomal RNA is filed under the name uncultured bacterium. RNAcentral's name for it is "partial 16S ribosomal RNA". It matches the Rfam family "Bacterial small subunit ribosomal RNA", at positions 793 to 1055 of the family's 1533-position model. The record is from RNAcentral.
GUCCUAGCCAUAAAACGAUGCAGACCAGAGGUGGGGGGUAUCGACCCCCUCCGCCCCGACCCUAACGGAUUAAGUCUGCCGCCUGGGGAGUACGGCCGCAAGGUUGAAACUCAAAGGAAUUGACGGGUACCCGCACAAGCGGUGGAGUAUGUGGUUUAAUUCGACGCAACACGAAAAACCUUACCUGGGCUCGAACGACUGGAAGUAAGCCCGAUGAAAGUUGGGACGACCUGUAAAGUCAGGAACCAGCCGAGGUGCUGCAUGGUUGUCGU